Molecule: transfer RNA, 72 nt
Filed under: Chelonia mydas (Green sea turtle)
Lineage: Eukaryota; Metazoa; Chordata; Testudines; Cheloniidae
Rfam family: tRNA
About the family: Transfer RNA (tRNA) molecules are approximately 80 nucleotides in length. Their secondary structure includes four short double-helical elements and three loops (D, anti-codon, and T loops).
Source: Rfam by way of RNAcentral
GGCAGUGUGGUGUAGUGGAUAGAGCACUAGACUGGGACUCAGGAGACUUGGGUUCUAUUCCCUGCUCUGCCC